This 450-nucleotide ribosomal RNA is filed under the name uncultured bacterium. RNAcentral's name for it is "partial 16S ribosomal RNA". It matches the Rfam family "Bacterial small subunit ribosomal RNA", at positions 354 to 796 of the family's 1533-position model. The record is from RNAcentral.
GUGGGGAAUCUUCCGCAAUGGACGAAAGUCUGACGGAGCAACGCCGCGUGAGUGAUGAAGGUCUUCGGAUUGUAAAGCUCUGUUAAUCGGGACGAAAGAGCCUAGUGUGAAUAAUGCUAGGAAGUGACGGUACCGGAAUAGAAAGCCACGGCUAACUACGUGCCAGCAGCCGCGGUAAUACGUAGGUGGCAAGCGUUGUCCGGAAUUAUUGGGCGUAAAGCGCGCGCAGGCGGAUCUGCCAGUCUGGCUUAAAAGUUCGGGGCUUAACCCCGUGAUGGGAGGGAAACUAGAGGUCUAGAGUAUCGGAGAGGAAAGUGAAAUUCCUAGUGUAGCGGUGAAAUGCGUAGAUAUUAGGAAGAACACCAGUGGCGAAGGCGACUUUCUGGACGAAAACUGACGCUGAGGCGCGAAAGCCAGGGGAGCGAACGGGAUUAGAUACCCUUGUAGUCC